GACGAACGCUGGCGGCGUGCCUAAUACAUGCAAGUCGAGCGAGUCUGCCUUGAAGAUCGGAGUGCUUGCACUCUGUGAAACAAGAUACAGGCUAGCGGCGGACGGGUGAGUAACACGUGGGUAACCUGCCCAAGAGAUCGGGAUAACACCUGGAAACAGAUGCUAAUACCGGAUAACAACAGAUGAUGCCUAUCAACUGUUUAAAAGAUGGUUCUGCUAUCACUCUUGGAUGGACCUGCGGUGCAUUAGCUAGUUGGUAGGGUAACGGCCUACCAAGGCGAUGAUGCAUAGCCGAGUUGAGAGACUGAUCGGCCACAUUGUGACUGAGACACGGCCCAAACUCCUACGGGAGGCAGCAGUAGGGAAUCUUCCACAAUGGACGCAAGUCUGAUGGAGCAACGCCGCGUGAGUGAAGAAGGGUUUCGGCUCGUAAAGCUCUGUUGUUGGUGAAGAAGGACAGGGGUAGUAACUGACCUUUGUUUGACGGUAAUCAAUUAGAAAGUCACGGCUAACUACGUG
This 519-nucleotide ribosomal RNA is filed under the name uncultured bacterium. RNAcentral describes it as "partial 16S ribosomal RNA". It matches the Rfam family "Bacterial small subunit ribosomal RNA", at positions 28 to 507 of the family's 1533-position model. The record is from RNAcentral.